GCUUGUCUCAAAGAUUAAGCCAUGCAUGUCUAAGUAUAAGCAUUAUACAGUGAAACUGCGAAUGGCUCAUUAUAUCAGUUAUAGUUUAUUUGAUAGUCCCUACUACUUGGAUAACCGUAGUAAUUCUAGAGCUAAUACAUGCACAAAAUCCCGACUUUUUGGAAGGGAUGUAUUUAUUAGAUACAACCGACCCCUCUGGGUUUUCGGUGAAUCAUAAUAACUGAGCGAACCGCAGGCGCAAGCGGCGGUGGUUCAAUCAAGUUUCUGCCCUAUCAGCUUUCGAUGGUAGGGUAUUGGCCUACCAUGGCGUUAACGGGUAACGGAGAAUUAGGGUUCGGUUCCGGAGAGGGAGCCUGAGAGAUGGCUACCACAUCCAAGGAAGGCAGCAGG
This 390-nucleotide ribosomal RNA is filed under the name uncultured Bicosoecida. RNAcentral describes it as "partial small subunit ribosomal RNA". It matches the Rfam family "Eukaryotic small subunit ribosomal RNA", at positions 30 to 432 of the family's 1831-position model. Lineage: Eukaryota; Bigyra; Bicosoecida. The record is from RNAcentral.